AUGCAAUCCAUAGCGCGAUAAACCGUAAAGUUCCUGCCUUAUGCCAAACUCAUCAUCACUGAGUUGAAGCUGCCAUGGCUCUUGUACACCAGCACCACCUCACAAAUUCAUUCCAUUCCAUUCGCAAGCCCAAUUUGAAACGACAAUCUUCCAAUUCUUGUUUAUUUUUUCAAUUCAAUACCCAGAAGCUCGCCUGCUGCUUAUGUGCAGCAUCCCCAAAUCCCAUUAGCCAGUCUCCAUCUCCGAUUUUCCUCCAUUUUCUCGAAGAAGAAGAAGAAGAAGAAGAAGAAGAAGAAGAAGAAGAAGAAGAGGAAAUUAAUGGAGGUCAUGGAGGAAACAAGACGGAAGAAGAUUGGAAAGACCCAUUAUUCAGAUUUUUAAAAUCCCGGACUUCAGCGACGCAAGACCCACCACGGGAAAGCAAAUUGUCCCUUCAGAGGAAUCGCCGUUCGUCGUGGCAUCUUGCCUCCGAUGUUGAAUUUUUCGAUGAAGCUGAAAUUUCACUCGAGGAAGACAAGGGAAAAUUGGGUUCUGUGAGUCGGGAUUCUAGGGUCUUACCGGAUGGUCUCGUCGGAGAAAUUGUGCGAACUGCGAGGAAUUUGCCGCAAAAUAUGACUCUGGGGGAAGCUUUGGAAGAUUUUGAAGGAAGAAUUAGUGAGAAAGAAUGUUUGGAGGUGCUGCGCUUGUUGGGUGAGGAGAAUCUCGUCGUAUGUUGCUUGUAUUUCUUUGAAUGGAUGGGUUUGCAGGAGACUUCGCUUGUUACACCUCGUGCUUAUUCUCUUCUCUUUCCAUUGUUGGGAAGAGCUGGAAUGGGAGAAAAAAUUAUGGUGUUGUUCAAGAACCUUCCAUGCAAGAAGGAAUUUCAGGAUGUUCAUGUGUAUAAUUCUGCAAUGUCUGGGCUGAUGGUCUGUAAGAGGUAUGAUGACGCUUACAAGGUGUACGAGGCCAUGGAAACAAAUAGUGUCAAUCCAGAUCAUGUGACUUGUUCUAUAAUGAUUACAGUCAUGAGAAAAAUCGGUCGGAGUGCAAAAGAUUCAUGGGAUUACUUUGAGAAAAUGAACAAAAAAGGAGUAAAAUGGAGUCCGGAAGUUUUGGGUGCUCUGAUUAAAUUGUUCUGCGAUGAGGGGUUGAAGAGUCAAGCAAUAAUCAUCCAAUUGGAGAUGGAGAAGAAAGGGGUUGCUUCAAAUGCAAUCAUGUAUAAUACGAUCAUGGAUGCUUUUAGUAAAUCGAAUCAAAUUGAGGAAGCUGAAGGCGUCUUUGCUGAAAUGAAAUCUAAAGGAGUGAAACCAACGAGUGCAAGUUUUAACAUCUUGAUGGAUGCAUACAGUAGGAGGAUGCAACCUGAGAUUGUUGAGAAGCUUCUGGUUGAAAUGAAGGAUAUGGGAUUGGAGCCUAAUGUGAAGUCAUACACUUGCUUGAUUAGUGCUUAUGGGAGGCAGAAGAAAAUGAGUGACAUGGCUGCAGAUGCAUUUUUGAGAAUGAAAAAGAAUGGUAUAAGGCCAACCUCUCAUUCAUAUACAGCUCUGAUUCACGCUUAUUCAGUUAGUGAUUGGCAUCAGAAAGCUUACUCAACAUUCAAGAACAUGUUGCGUGAAGGUUUAAAGCCAUCCAUUGAAACUUACACAACUCUACUUGAUGCGUUUAGGCGUGCUGGUGAUACUGUAGCGUUGAUGAAAAUAUGGAAGUUAAUGAUUAGAGAAAAAAUAUUGGGGACAAGAGUAACCUUCAACAUACUGCUAGAUGGGUUUGCAAAACAGGGUCAUUAUGUUGAAGCUAGAGAUGUGAUCUCUGAGUUUGAUAAAAUUGGGUUACAACCAACUGUUAUGACAUACAACAUGUUGAUGAAUGCAUAUGCUAGGGGAGGUCAACAUUUAAAGAUGCCACAGCUGCUACAAGAGAUGGCUGCUCGGGAACUAAAACCCGACUCCGUUACUUAUUCGACCAUGAUUUAUGCCUUUGUACGUGUUCGUGAUUUCAAGAGAGCUUUCUUUUAUCACAAGAAGAUGGUAAAAAGUGGACAAGUGCCUGAUGUGAAGUCAUACCAGAAACUAAGAUCAAUCUUGGAUGUAAAACUUUCUACAAAGAACAGGAAAGACAAGAGUGCCAUUCUUGGUAUAAUAAACAGCAAAAUGGGUAUGGUGAAAGCUAAGAAGAAGGGCAAGAAAGAUGAGUUUUGGAAGACCAAGAGAAAGCACGUGAGAACUCGGAGAGUUUCUCCCAGUGAACAAACAAAAAUGAAGACCGAGAAUUGAAUUGACCAGCCAGUUGGGCUUUCCUUGCAUGGAUGGCCCAUCUCUGAUCCAUCAUAAGAUGGGCUAAGGAGGCCCAGAAUUUUGCAGAUGGGCCCACUGAGACAAGGAAGUGUCAAAUGGGUCUAUAACAAAACAUUGGCCCAAUAGAGAAAAAGAAGGAGCAAGUCGAAGCAGCUUUUGAAGACUCGAGAUAUUUGUGUAUUGGCUUGGACAGAUUAAUAGUUAAUGAUGAAGAAUAUUGUACAUUAGGAAAAAGGAGGUCUGCACUCUUCUUUUUUCAUGUUGUAAAGAGCUAUGGACAAGACCAGGCUUUUGGUUGUCGACUUGAAGGCAGAAGUUCUCUGUUAUGCUGCCAAGUUUCUUCCAUUGACUUAUGCUGUUUCAGCCUUGAUCAUUCCGGGUUUAGUUGACCAGUUAAACUCGAUGAAGAAUGCAAUAUUACCCAACCUUGUAAAGCAACUGCCUCAGCUAGUGCCAUAUCAAUUUUGCCCUCCUGGAUUUUUUCAUCCAAUAACUGUUAUCUAUGAACUCACUUAUGGGGAGACUGAAAUGAAGCAAGUGGAACUAAGAAAGCCCUUACACUUAAGAUUAGGGUACCUUUUGAUCGUCCUGUGCUAAGAAUUGCUACGUGCAUUGGAUUACUCGGUAAGG
Non-coding RNA from Benincasa hispida (wax gourd), 2903 nucleotides. NCBI's taxonomy places the organism in Eukaryota, Viridiplantae, Streptophyta, Magnoliopsida, Cucurbitales, Cucurbitaceae. The record is from RefSeq and is a predicted model, not a curated record.